Sus scrofa (pig) is the source of this 753-nucleotide non-coding RNA. The record is from RefSeq and is a predicted model, not a curated record. Lineage: Eukaryota; Metazoa; Chordata; Mammalia; Artiodactyla; Suidae.
CCGCUGGCAUGUGGAAGCUCCUGAGCCAGGGAUCGAACCUGCGCCACAGCAGCCAGCGCGGCCGCUGCAAUGAACGCAGGAUCCUUAACUCACUGCACCACAAGGCAACUACCUCUGGUGAGCAUCUUGACCCUUCUAGAAGGGUCGAAAGGAUAGUCCUUCCUGUCAGGCCCAUAUGCAACCCGUGAAGUGCUCAUUACUUCUCUCCUGCUCAAAAUCCCCCGCUCCCCACUCCUUUCUGGGUUCUUUCACUGGCCUCUUCCACACAGGCAGCGCUCCCUGGACUCUCCCAGGGCAGAGGCCCUGAGCUGGGGUUUUAGCAUCCAAGACUUGGGAACCGAUCCGAACUUUUGCGGCUAUGAUUUCACCCAGCCUUGACUCUGACUCCACCUCCCACCAUGGCCUAGUCAUCACCUGUGGGCCUGGUAUCCUGUAAAGUACCGUGGAGGAGACCAAAAUCAGGGUAUUGGUAAAAGGAGGCAGACAGGGCAGGGUCUGAAUCCCAGCCCUACCCUUUCCCAGCUUUGUGGCCUUGAACAAGCCCUCUAACCCUUUGGCAUGUGUCAUCUCAACUCAGGGCAGAUGGCCCUUUCAGCUGACAUGUAAGCCCCACCUGGGGAGAGGCUAGAUGUGACAAGAAGCAGCUCCCAGGACAGCAAGCUCACCUCACAUUCAGUGAGAAUGCGGCUCUGCCAGGAGUUGCCUGCUUCCCCAGCUUCCUGGAUCAAUAAAAAGCACCUCCAGCAAAGUCCA